UUUACCUCAUUUUUACUUUUCACUCAAAAUUUAAAAUCCCCCGCCCACUCCUCUCUCUCUCCUCCUUUCACCACCACCACCGUAUCCUCACCACAUCGCCGUACCUUCGCCGCUAGACAGCUCCGCCGCCAGCCAUCUUACUUGUUGAAGAAAAGGAGCAAAAGAUUCAAGCUUCCUUCCUUUCAGUUCAAUUUCAGGUCAUUGCUGACGGCCGGUUCCAAAUCCAAAACCCUAAGCUCUUUGUUCCGUUCCUCUACUAAAUUAUCAAAACAAUAGAAAUCCGCUACUACACCUUCAACUGCCUCAGCACAAGAUAUUGCCCAAAAACAAUAUGUAUCUUCCAUUAACUCAACAUCUAAUGUUUCUUCUAAGCCUCUCAGUGAAAUAAUAGCCGAAUGCAUCAACUUUAAUGACUCUGGUCAUGGAGUAUGAAGUUCAAAAAUUUCCCUUGUGGAAGAUUUCACUAUGAUGAAGAGUAGGGAUGUACAUGGACCGGGUUGGUUCGGAUUUUUUAAAGACCAAACCAAACCAAUUGCAUCGGAUUUUUAAAUCUAUACACCAAACCAAACCAACAAAAGUCGGGUUUUUCAACCUCGGAUUUUCUCGUUUUUUUCGGGUUUUUCGGGUUUUUUCCGGUAAAGUCUUCAUACUAAAAAUAUAACUUGUACUUCAAAUAUUUCUUUAGUCCUAGUAAGAUACGACUAUCUAAUUAAGAUAUUUAUUAAGAAAAUAACACAAAACGUGCUGAGAGAUGACAUUGUACUAAAAUAUUCAACGAAAAAAAUUAAUGUAAUUACAUAAAAUAAAAUUUUCAUAAUCUAAAAGUACUAAGUCAUGCUACAAUAAAUACAAUUAAUUUAUAAGGCAUGUAGAAAAUGAUCAUAAUCUCAGGGGUCGUUUGGUUCAAAAACAAAUUACGCUGGGAUAAGUUAUGCUGGGAUUAAUUACGUUGGAUAAGUUAUGCUGGGAUUAGUUAUUCUGGAGUUAUUUUUUAUUAACUGUUUGGUAUGUUGGACUAAAGAUAUUAUACAUUGGAUAAUUUCUAAAAAGAAGAGGUUUCUUCUUUAUCCCGGGAUAACUUAUCAUGGGAUAACUUAUUCCACCCUGUGGCAGGUAUAAGUUAUCCCAGCACUAUUUUUACUCCUGGGAUAACUUAUCCCAUGAUUACUAACCAAACGAGGGAUAAGAAAUUGCUAAAUUCUUAUCCCAAGACUAUUUAUGUUUAUCCUUCAUACCAACGACCCCUUAAAGUACUACGUCAUGCUAAAAUAAGUAUGGCUAAUAAGUAUUAAUUACAUGACUAGAUAUUAAAAAAAAUAAAAAAUUAAGUUAUGUAUUUUCACUUUCUAAACUAAUAUAAAACUAAAGAAUAGAUAUCAAAAUUAUUGUCAUUCCAGUGUUAGAUAUGAAUUUCUUCUGUUAGCAUUAGUAUUGAUUUGAUUUUUGUUGAGUUUUAUUUGAGUUACUAAUAUCAUUGAGCUAUAAAACUUAUUAAACCAUUCAAAAUUCUAAUUCGAAGCUUGAAAUAAUAUGUUAAAAGACAAAAAACUAUGAAAAAGUUAAAGAAACAUUUAUAAAUUACUAUAAAUAAAUAUUUCUAUUUAUAAAAUAUGUUUGAAAUUUUAUAAAUGUAAUGUCGGGUUGGUUUGAUUCGGUUUGACUUUUUUUUAGCUAAAACCAAACCAAACCAAUAGUAUUCGGGUUUUUCUUUUUAAAACCAAACCAAGUCAAACCAAACCACUAGUCGGGUUUUUUUCUCGGUUUGGUUCGGAUUAUCGGUUUGGUGCGGUUUGUCGGUUUGCUUUGUACACCCCUAAUGAAGAGUUUGGAAAAUUAUUUGAAGACAUUAAUCGGUAGGACUAGUUAUUUAUUUCAAACAAGAUCAUUUUAUUUUUUUAGGUUGUGACAUUAAUAUUUUGGAUUAGUACUUUCUUUUAUUUGUUUAGAUUUAAUAAGAUAUUUUUUUAAUGAAUUAAUUGUCUUUUAGCACUUUCCAAUCUUUCGUUGCUUCUAGCCCACUACGAGCUCCCUUAUACUAGUAA
This is a long non-coding RNA of Lycium barbarum (goji berry), 2042 nucleotides long. RefSeq lists it as uncharacterized. The transcript is spliced from 2 exons. Lineage: Eukaryota; Viridiplantae; Streptophyta; Magnoliopsida; Solanales; Solanaceae. The record is from RefSeq and is a predicted model, not a curated record.